UUGCAGGGUAUAGACCCGAAACCCGGUGAUCUAGCCAUGGGCAGGUUGAAGGUUGGGUAACACUAACUGGAGGACCGAACCGACUAAUGUUGAAAAAUUAGCGGAUGACUUGUGGCUGGGGGUGAAAGGCCAAUCAAACCGGGAGAUAGCUGGUUCUCCCCGAAAGCUAUUUAGGUAGCGCCUCGUGAAUUCAUCUCCGGGGGUAGAGCACUGUUUCGGCAAGGGGGUCAUCCCGACUUACCAACCCGAUGCAAACUGCGAAUACCGGAGAAUGUUAUCACGGGAGACACACGGCGGGUGCUAACGUCCGUCGUGAAGAGGGAAACAACCCAGACCGCCAGCUAAGGUCCCAAAGUCAUGGUUAAGUGGGAAACGAUGUGGGAAGGCCCAGACAGCCAGGAUGUUGGCUUAGAAGCAGCCAUCAUUUAAAGAAAGCGUAAUAGCUCACUGGUCGAGUCGGCCUGCGCGGAAGAUGUAACGGGGCUAAACCAUGCAC
RNAcentral lists this ribosomal RNA (496 nucleotides) under Escherichia coli. RNAcentral describes it as "partial 23S ribosomal RNA". It matches the Rfam family "Bacterial large subunit ribosomal RNA", at positions 700 to 1194 of the family's 2925-position model. Lineage: Bacteria; Pseudomonadati; Pseudomonadota; Gammaproteobacteria; Enterobacterales; Enterobacteriaceae. The record is from RNAcentral.